GACCCUACGGACUUCGGUGGGGUUUGGGCACGGUGCCUUCUCAACGAGCAGGUGUGCGCCUGCAGCCAGGGGGCGCCAGAACACCAAUUUCACACACAAUGUCAUGUUCUUUUUUUACUGCUCGUCUCGCCCCCCAUGUGAUUUGGCGCCCCCCACAAAUAUGGCGCUCCGGGCGGCUGCCCGGUUCGCCCGUGCCUAAAACCGCCACUGGCGUCCUGGCAUGGAGGGGAUACCUGGAGGUACCUCCUCCGAGAGUCCGGGGCCAUCUCCGUCCACUGUCAACCCACUGGUUGAAUAUCAAGACGGAGUAUUGCUUUUAAUCGAGCCGGCUACGAAUGAACAUCCUCCAGUUUCUGUAAGUCCGGAGGCCGAUGAAAAUAUUGCCAUGGAUGGGGCUGAAAGAACUGAGACUGUGGUCGAGGAAGCGGCGGGUACAUCAGGGUCGUAAUAUAAGCAUUUGACGACUAAAGAAUUAUAUCGACUUCAUCUUCAGCGGGAAAUCGCUAAGGCUGAUUUGCAAAUGGAGUACACGAAGCUGCUGAUAGAGCAACUAAAGAAUAAAAAUGAUGGAU
Long non-coding RNA from Gadus chalcogrammus (walleye pollock), 572 nucleotides. RefSeq lists it as uncharacterized. NCBI's taxonomy places the organism in Eukaryota, Metazoa, Chordata, Actinopteri, Gadiformes, Gadidae. The transcript has 6 exons. The record is from RefSeq and is a predicted model, not a curated record.